UUGGAGGGCAAGUCUGGUGCCAGCAGCCGCGGUAAUUCCAGCUCCAAUAGCGUAUAUUAAAGUUGUUACAGUUAAAAAGCUCGUAGUUGAAUUUCGGGAUCAAUGUUUCGGUCAUGCCGUUGGUAUGUACUGAUAUUAUUGAUUUCUCACCUUCUAAAGAACCGUAAUGCCAUUAAUUUGGUGUCACGGGGAAUUAGGACUGUUACCUUGAAAAAAUUAGAGUGUUUAAAGCAGGCUCACGCUUGAAUACAUUAGCAUGGAAUAAUGAAAUAGGACAUCCGAUUCUAUUUUGUUGGUUUCUAGGAUCGAUGUAAUGAUUAAUAGGGAUAGUUGGGGGCAUUAGUAUUCAAUUGUCAGAGGUGAAAUUCUUGGAUUUAUUGAAGACUAACUACUGCGAAAGCAUUUGCCAAGGAUGUUUUCAUUAAUCAAGAACGAAAGUUAGGGGAUCGAAGACGAUCAGAUACCGUCGUAGUCUUAACCAUAAACUAUGCCGACUAGGGAUCGGAUGAUGUUAAUUUUUUAAUGGCUCAUUCGGCGCCUUACGGGAAACCAAAGUGUUUGGGUUC
RNAcentral lists this ribosomal RNA (566 nucleotides) under uncultured Glomeromycotina. RNAcentral's name for it is "SSU rRNA". It matches the Rfam family "Eukaryotic small subunit ribosomal RNA", at positions 548 to 1114 of the family's 1831-position model. Lineage: Eukaryota; Fungi; Glomeromycota. The record is from RNAcentral.